RNAcentral lists this transfer RNA (71 nucleotides) under Albula goreensis. Its description in RNAcentral is "tRNA-OTHER". Lineage: Eukaryota; Metazoa; Chordata; Actinopteri; Albuliformes; Albulidae. The record is from RNAcentral.
GCCCCGGUGGGUCAGCUGGUAGAGCGCACGCCUCGCACGCAGCAGCCCAGGUUCGAGUCCUGCCUGGGCCC